GGUUAAGCGACUAAGCGUACACGGUGGAUGCCCUGGCAGUCAGAGGCGAUGAAGGACGUGCUAAUCUGCGAAAAGCGUCGGUAAGGUGAUAUGAACCGUUAUAACCGGCGAUGUCCGAAUGGGGAAACCCAGUGUGAUUCGUCACACUAUCGUUAACUGAAUACAUAGGUUAACGAGGCGAACCGGGGGAACUGAAACAUCUAAGUACCCCGAGGAAAAGAAAUCAACCGAGAUUCCCCCAGUAGCGGCGAGCGAACGGGGAGCAGCCCAGAGUCUGAAUCAGCUUGUGUGUUAGUGGAACGGUCUGGAAAGUCCGACGGUACAGGGUGAUAGUCCCGUACACCAAAAUGCACAGGUUGUGAACUCGAAGAGUAGGGCGGGACACGUGGUAUCCUGUCUGAAUAUGGGGGGACCAUCCUCCAAGGCUAAAUACUCCUGACUGACCGAUAGUGAACCAGUACCGUGAGGGAAAGGCGAAAAGAACCCCGGCGAGGGGAGUGAAAAAGAACCUGAAACCGUGUACGUACAAGCAGUGGGAGCACCUUCGGGUGUGACUGCGUACCUUUUGUAUAAUGGGUCAGCGACUUAUAUUCUGUAGCAAGGUUAACCGUAUAGGGGAGCCGCAGGGAAACCGAGUCUUAACUGGGCGUUAAGUUGCAGGGUAUAGACCCGAAACCCGGUGAUCUAGCCAUGGGCAGGUUGAAGGUUGGGUAACACUAACUGGAGGACCGAACCGACUAAUGUUGAAAAAUUAGCGGAUGACUUGUGGCUGGGGGUGAAAGGCCAAUCAAACCGGGAGAUAGCUGGUUCUCCCCGAAAGCUAUUUAGGUAGCGCCUCGUGAACUCAUCUUCGGGGGUAGAGCACUGUUUCGGCUAGGGGGUCAUCCCGACUUACCAACCCGAUGCAAACUACGAAUACCGAAGAAUGUUAUCACGGGAGACACACGGCGGGUGCUAACGUCCGUCGUGAAGAGGGAAACAACCCAGACCGCCAGCUAAGGUCCCAAAGUCAUGGUUAAGUGGGAAACGAUGUGGGAAGGCACAGACAGCCAGGAUGUUGGCUUAGAAGCAGCCAUCAUUUAAAGAAAGCGUAAUAGCUCACUGGUCGAGUCGGCCUGCGCGGAAGAUGUAACGGGGCUAAACCAUGCACCGAAGCUGCGGCAGCGACACUAUGUGUUGUUGGGUAGGGGAGCGUUCUGUAAGCCUGCGAAGGUGACCUGUGAGGGUUGCUGGAGGUAUCAGAAGUGCGAAUGCUGACAUAAGUAACGAUAAAGCGGGUGAAAAGCCCGCUCGCCGGAAGACCAAGGGUUCCUGUCCAACGUUAAUCGGGGCAGGGUGAGUCGACCCCUAAGGCGAGGCCGAAAGGCGUAGUCGAUGGGAAACAGGUUAAUAUUCCUGUACUUGGUGUUACUGCGAAGGGGGGACGGAGAAGGCUAUGUUAGCCGGGCGACGGUUGUCCCGGUUUAAGCAUGUAGGCUGAUUGUCCAGGCAAAUCCGGAUAAUCAAGGCUGAGGUGUGAUGACGAGGCACUACGGUGCUGAAGUAACAAAUGCCCUGCUUCCAGGAAAAGCCUCUAAGCAUCAGGUAACAUCAAAUCGUACCCCAAACCGACACAGGUGGUCAGGUAGAGAAUACCAAGGCGCUUGAGAGAACUCGGGUGAAGGAACUAGGCAAAAUGGUGCCGUAACUUCGGGAGAAGGCACGCUGGUGUGUAGGUGAAGUCCCUGCGGAUGGAGCUGAGACCAGUCGAAGAUACCAGCUGGCUGCAACUGUUUAUUAAAAACACAGCACUGUGCAAACACGAAAGUGGACGUAUACGGUGUGACGCCUGCCCGGUGCCGGAAGGUUAAUUGAUGGGGUUAUCCGUAAGGAGAAGCUCUUGAUCGAAGCCCCGGUAAACGGCGGCCGUAACUAUAACGGUCCUAAGGUAGCGAAAUUCCUUGUCGGGUAAGUUCCGACCUGCACGAAUGGCGUAAUGAUGGCCAGGCUGUCUCCACCCGAGACUCAGUGAAAUUGAACUCGCUGUGAAGAUGCAGUGUACCCGCGGCAAGACGGAAAGACCCCGUGAACCUUUACUAUAGCUUGACACUGAACAUUGAGCCUUGAUGUGUAGGAUAGGUGGGAGGCUUUGAAGCGUGGACGCCAGUCUGCGUGGAGCCAACCUUGAAAUACCACCCUUUAAUGUUUGAUGUUCUAACGUUGGCCCCUUACCGGGGUUGCGGACAGUGUCUGGUGGGUAGUUUGACUGGGGCGGUCUCCUCCCAAAGCGUAACGGAGGAGCACGAAGGUUAGCUAAUCCUGGUCGGACAUCAGGAGGUUAGUGCAAUGGCAUAAGCUAGCUUGACUGCGAGCGUGACGGCGCGAGCAGGUGCGAAAGCAGGUCAUAGUGAUCCGGUGGUUCUGAAUGGAAGGGCCAUCGCUCAACGGAUAAAAGGUACUCCGGGGAUAACAGGCUGAUACCGCCCAAGAGUUCAUAUCGACGGCGGUGUUUGGCACCUCGAUGUCGGCUCAUCACAUCCUGGGGCUGAAGUAGGUCCCAAGGGUAUGGCUGUUCGCCAUUUAAAGUGGUACGCGAGCUGGGUUUAGAACGUCGUGAGACAGUUCGGUCCCUAUCUGCCGUGGGCGCUGGAGAAUUGAGGGGGGCUGCUCCUAGUACGAGAGGACCGGAGUGGACGCAUCACUGGUGUUCGGGUUGUCAUGCCAAUGGCACUGCCCGGUAGCUAAAUGCGGAAGAGAUAAGUGCUGAAAGCAUCUAAGCACGAAACUUGCCCCGAGAUGAGUUCUCCCUGAGACUUUAAGUCUCCUGAAGGAACGUUAAAGACGAUGACGUUGAUAGGCCGGGUGUGUAAGCGCAGCGAUGCGUUGAGCUAACCGGUACUAAUGAACCGUGAGGCUUAACCUU
Molecule: ribosomal RNA, 2902 nt
Filed under: Klebsiella pneumoniae
Lineage: Bacteria; Pseudomonadati; Pseudomonadota; Gammaproteobacteria; Enterobacterales; Enterobacteriaceae
Also listed under: 1 other name
Description: 23S ribosomal RNA
Rfam family: Bacterial large subunit ribosomal RNA
Source: RNAcentral